This 2930-nucleotide ribosomal RNA is filed under the name Escherichia coli. Its description in RNAcentral is "bacterial LSU rRNA". It matches the Rfam family "Bacterial large subunit ribosomal RNA". Lineage: Bacteria; Pseudomonadati; Pseudomonadota; Gammaproteobacteria; Enterobacterales; Enterobacteriaceae. The record is from RNAcentral.
GGGUUGUGAGGUUAAGCGACUAAGCGUACACGGUGGAUGCCCUGGCAGUCAGAGGCGAUGAAGGACGUGCUAAUCUGCGAUAAGCGUCGGUAAGGUGAUAUGAACCGUUAUAACCGGCGAUUUCCGAAUGGGGAAACCCAGUGUGAUUCGUCACACUAUCAUUAACUGAAUCCAUAGGUUAAUGAGGCGAACCGGGGGAACUGAAACAUCUAAGUACCCCGAGGAAAAGAAAUCAACCGAGAUUCCCCCAGUAGCGGCGAGCGAACGGGGAGCAGCCCAGAGCCUGAAUCAGUGUGUGUGUUAGUGGAAGCGUCUGGAAAGGCGCGCGAUACAGGGUGACAGCCCCGUACACAAAAAUGCACAUGCUGUGAGCUCGAUGAGUAGGGCGGGACACGUGGUAUCCUGUCUGAAUAUGGGGGGACCAUCCUCCAAGGCUAAAUACUCCUGACUGACCGAUAGUGAACCAGUACCGUGAGGGAAAGGCGAAAAGAACCCCGGCGAGGGGAGUGAAAAAGAACCUGAAACCGUGUACGUACAAGCAGUGGGAGCACGCUUAGGCGUGUGACUGCGUACCUUUUGUAUAAUGGGUCAGCGACUUAUAUUCUGUAGCAAGGUUAACCGAAUAGGGGAGCCGAAGGGAAACCGAGUCUUAACUGGGCGUUAAGUUGCAGGGUAUAGACCCGAAACCCGGUGAUCUAGCCAUGGGCAGGUUGAAGGUUGGGUAACACUAACUGGAGGACCGAACCGACUAAUGUUGAAAAAUUAGCGGAUGACUUGUGGCUGGGGGUGAAAGGCCAAUCAAACCGGGAGAUAGCUGGUUCUCCCCGAAAGCUAUUUAGGUAGCGCCUCGUGAAUUCAUCUCCGGGGGUAGAGCACUGUUUCGGCAAGGGGGUCAUCCCGACUUACCAACCCGAUGCAAACUGCGAAUACCGGAGAAUGUUAUCACGGGAGACACACGGCGGGUGCUAACGUCCGUCGUGAAGAGGGAAACAACCCAGACCGCCAGCUAAGGUCCCAAAGUCAUGGUUAAGUGGGAAACGAUGUGGGAAGGCCCAGACAGCCAGGAUGUUGGCUUAGAAGCAGCCAUCAUUUAAAGAAAGCGUAAUAGCUCACUGGUCGAGUCGGCCUGCGCGGAAGAUGUAACGGGGCUAAACCAUGCACCGAAGCUGCGGCAGCGACACUAUGUGUUGUUGGGUAGGGGAGCGUUCUGUAAGCCUGUGAAGGUGUACUGUGAGGUAUGCUGGAGGUAUCAGAAGUGCGAAUGCUGACAUAAGUAACGAUAAAGCGGGUGAAAAGCCCGCUCGCCGGAAGACCAAGGGUUCCUGUCCAACGUUAAUCGGGGCAGGGUGAGUCGACCCCUAAGGCGAGGCCGAAAGGCGUAGUCGAUGGGAAACAGGUUAAUAUUCCUGUACUUGGUGUUACUGCGAAGGGGGGACGGAGAAGGCUAUGUUGGCCGGGCGACGGUUGUCCCGGUUUAAGCGUGUAGGCUGGUUUUCCAGGCAAAUCCGGAAAAUCAAGGCUGAGGCGUGAUGACGAGGCACUACGGUGCUGAAGCAACAAAUGCCCUGCUUCCAGGAAAAGCCUCUAAGCAUCAGGUAACAUCAAAUCGUACCCCAAACCGACACAGGUGGUCAGGUAGAGAAUACCAAGGCGCUUGAGAGAACUCGGGUGAAGGAACUAGGCAAAAUGGUGCCGUAACUUCGGGAGAAGGCACGCUGAUAUGUAGGUGAAGUCCCUCGCGGAUGGAGCUGAAAUCAGUCGAAGAUACCAGCUGGCUGCAACUGUUUAUUAAAAACACAGCACUGUGCAAACACGAAAGUGGACGUAUACGGUGUGACGCCUGCCCGGUGCCGGAAGGUUAAUUGAUGGGGUCAGCGCAAGCGAAGCUCUUGAUCGAAGCCCCGGUAAACGGCGGCCGUAACUAUAACGGUCCUAAGGUAGCGAAAUUCCUUGUCGGGUAAGUUCCGACCUGCACGAAUGGCGUAAUGAUGGCCAGGCUGUCUCCACCCGAGACUCAGUGAAAUUGAACUCGCUGUGAAGAUGCAGUGUACCCGCGGCAAGACGGAAAGACCCCGUGAACCUUUACUAUAGCUUGACACUGAACAUUGAGCCUUGAUGUGUAGGAUAGGUGGGAGGCUUUGAAGUGUGGACGCCAGUCUGCAUGGAGCCGACCUUGAAAUACCACCCUUUAAUGUUUGAUGUUCUAACGUUGACCCGUGAUCCGGGUUGCGGACAGUGUCUGGUGGGUAGUUUGACUGGGGCGGUCUCCUCCUAAAGAGUAACGGAGGAGCACGAAGGUUGGCUAAUCCUGGUCGGACAUCAGGAGGUUAGUGCAAUGGCAUAAGCCAGCUUGACUGCGAGCGUGACGGCGCGAGCAGGUGCGAAAGCAGGUCAUAGUGAUCCGGUGGUUCUGAAUGGAAGGGCCAUCGCUCAACGGAUAAAAGGUACUCCGGGGAUAACAGGCUGAUACCGCCCAAGAGUUCAUAUCGACGGCGGUGUUUGGCACCUCGAUGUCGGCUCAUCACAUCCUGGGGCUGAAGUAGGUCCCAAGGGUAUGGCUGUUCGCCAUUUAAAGUGGUACGCGAGCUGGGUUUAGAACGUCGUGAGACAGUUCGGUCCCUAUCUGCCGUGGGCGCUGGAGAAUUGAGGGGGGCUGCUCCUAGUACGAGAGGACCGGAGUGGACGCAUCACUGGUGUUCGGGUUGUCAUGCCAAUGGCACUGCCCGGUAGCUAAAUGCGGAAGAGAUAAGUGCUGAAAGCAUCUAAGCACGAAACUUGCCCCGAGAUGAGUUCUCCCUGACCCUUUAAGGGUCCUGAAGGAACGUUGAAGACGACGACGUUGAUAGGCCGGGUGUGUAAGCGCAGCGAUGCGUUGAGCUAACCGGUACUAAUGAACCGUGAGGCUUAACCUUACAACGCCGAAGGUGUUU